UACGUAGGGAGCAAGCGUUGUCCGGAAUCAUUGGGCGUAAAGCGCGCGUAGGUGGCUUCGUAAGUCCGUUGUGAAAGUCAAAGGCUCAACCUUUGAAUGCCGAUGGAUACUGCGGAGCUAGAGUACGGAAGAGGCGAGUGGAAUUCCUGGUGUAGCGGUGGAAUGCGCAGAUAUCAGGAGGAACACCAAUGGCGAAGGCAGCACUCUGGGACGGUACUGACGCUGAGACGCGAAAGCGUGGGGAGCAAACAGG
RNAcentral lists this ribosomal RNA (253 nucleotides) under uncultured bacterium. RNAcentral's name for it is "partial 16S ribosomal RNA". It matches the Rfam family "Bacterial small subunit ribosomal RNA", at positions 524 to 776 of the family's 1533-position model. The record is from RNAcentral.